This 350-nucleotide unclassified non-coding RNA is filed under the name soil metagenome. RNAcentral describes it as "partial contains 5.8S ribosomal RNA, internal transcribed spacer 2, and large subunit ribosomal RNA". The stretch from base 1 to 120 matches the Rfam family "5.8S ribosomal RNA", at positions 35 to 154 of the family's 154-position model. The record is from RNAcentral.
GAUGAAGAACGUAGCGAAAUGCGAUAAGUAAUGUGAAUUGCAGAAUUCAGUGAAUCAUCGAAUCUUUGAACGCACAUUGCGCCCGCCAGUAUUCUGGCGGGCAUGCCUGUUCGAGCGUCAUUACAACCCUCAGGCCCCCGGGCCUGGCGUUGGGGAUCGGCGGAAGCCCCCUGCGGGCACAACGCCGUCCCCCAAAUACAGUGGCGGUCCCGCCGCAGCUUCCAUUGCGUAGUAGCACACCUCGCACCGGAGAGCGGCUCGGCCACGCCGUGAAACCCCCAAUUUUUUAAGGUUGACCUCGGAUCAGGUAGGAAUACCCGCUGAACUUAAGCAUAUCAAUAAGCGGAGGA